AAACCAUGCAUCAGACAUUUUCUAAUUAAUUCCUUGAAAUGCUCUCAUGCUUCAUAUAAUGCCUUAUCUUCAGAUUUCCUGAACUAUGUAACGUCAUUCCUAAGCUU
Molecule: small nucleolar RNA, 107 nt
Organism: Gossypium arboreum
Lineage: Eukaryota; Viridiplantae; Streptophyta; Magnoliopsida; Malvales; Malvaceae
Rfam family: Plant small nucleolar RNA R71
About the family: R71 is a member of the C/D box family of snoRNAs containing the C (UGAUGA) and D (CUGA) box motifs. Multiple nearly identical copies of this snoRNA have been identified in Arabidopsis, and it is thought to function as a 2'-O-ribose methylation guide for 18S ribosomal RNA.
Source: Rfam